UAUUAGAUACCCCGGUAGUCCCAGCCGUAAACUAUGCUCGCUAGGUGUCAGGCAUGGCGCGACCGUGUCUGGUGCCGCAGGGAAGCCGUGAAGCGAGCCACCUGGGAAGUACGGCCGCAAGGCUGAAACUUAAAGGAAUUGGCGGGGGAGCACAACAACGGGUGGAGCCUGCGGUUUAAUUGGACUCAACGCCGGGAAGCUCACCGGAUAAGACAGCUGAAUGAUUGCCGGGCUGAAGACUCUGCAUGACUAGCUGAGAGGUGGUGCAUGGCA
Molecule: ribosomal RNA, 273 nt
Filed under: uncultured Methanosarcina sp.
Lineage: Archaea; Methanobacteriati; Methanobacteriota; Methanomicrobia; Methanosarcinales; Methanosarcinaceae
Also listed under: 1 other name
Description: partial 16S ribosomal RNA
Rfam family: Archaeal small subunit ribosomal RNA
Source: RNAcentral